RNAcentral lists this ribosomal RNA (482 nucleotides) under uncultured bacterium. RNAcentral describes it as "partial 16S ribosomal RNA". It matches the Rfam family "Bacterial small subunit ribosomal RNA", at positions 30 to 507 of the family's 1533-position model. The record is from RNAcentral.
AUUGAACGCUGGCGGCAUGCCUUACACAUGCAAGUCGAACGGUAACAGGUCUUCGGAUGCUGACGAGUGGCGAACGGGUGAGUAAUACAUCGGAACGUGCCCGAUCGUGGGGGAUAACGAAGCGAAAGCUUUGCUAAUACCGCAUACGAUCUACGGAUGAAAGCAGGGGACCGCAAGGCCUUGCGCGAACGGAGCGGCCGAUGGCAGAUUAGGUAGUUGGUGGGAUAAAAGCUUACCAAGCCGACGAUCUGUAGCUGGUCUGAGAGGACGACCAGCCACACUGGGACUGAGACACGGCCCAGACUCCUACGGGAGGCAGCAGUGGGGAAUUUUGGACAAUUGGCGAAAGCCUGAUCCAGCCAUGCCGCGUGCAGGAUGAAGGCCUUCGGGUUGUAAACUGCCUUUGUACGGAACGAAAAGACUCUGGUUAAUACCUGGGGUCCAUGACGGUACCGUAAGAAUAAGCACCGGCUAACUACGUG